This 239-nucleotide non-coding RNA is filed under the name Limosilactobacillus ingluviei. RNAcentral's name for it is "Lactobacillus ingluviei T-box sequence". It matches the Rfam family "T-box leader". Rfam says of the family: Uncharged tRNA acts as the effector for transcription antitermination of genes in the T-box leader family. The record is from RNAcentral. Lineage: Bacteria; Bacillati; Bacillota; Bacilli; Lactobacillales; Lactobacillaceae.
ACAAACAUUUAGAAAAGCAGAGUAACUGAUGGCGGCUACCAAGAGAGCUUCUGGUUGGUGGAAAGAAGUUGGCUUAGAUUGGUGAAGAUGGGCUUGGAAUGGCACUGGCGAUUCAUUAGUCAGUGACGGGUUUGCACCCGUUACCAAUGCAGGGUUAUUCAGUUUUGAGUAACUCGGCAAGGUUUCACCUGUGAGGGUGAAAUGAAUCAAAGGUGGUAACACGAGCAAUCGUCCUUGAU